CACCGCCCGUCACACCAUGGGAGUCGAUUGCUCCAGAAGUGCCUGAGCCAACCGCAAGGAGGCAGGGCCCAAGGAGUGAUCGGUAACGUGGGUG
This 94-nucleotide ribosomal RNA is filed under the name uncultured bacterium. Its description in RNAcentral is "partial 16S ribosomal RNA". It matches the Rfam family "Bacterial small subunit ribosomal RNA", at positions 1388 to 1482 of the family's 1533-position model. The record is from RNAcentral.